This 68-nucleotide transfer RNA is filed under the name Blepharopsis mendica. RNAcentral's name for it is "tRNA-Cys". The record is from RNAcentral. Lineage: Eukaryota; Metazoa; Arthropoda; Insecta; Mantodea; Empusidae.
GGUCUUAUAUUCAUCCAGUGAUGAUAUGAGAAUGCAAUUCUCAAGGUGUAAUUAAAAUACUAAGACUU